GAUACAGAUAUGCAUGCUCGAGCGCAUGAUAAACAACGUGUUGGACGAGUUAUUGUUUUAAAGAAGUUUUGUUUAACUUUCAAGCUUGUUGUCUGCAUACCGGAAAUCUUGGAGCCUGUGUCUCUGUCUCUGAGACUGAGAGUAAAACUGUUGUAGCGUGAGGACUAAAGUCGUUAAUUAUAUUAGGCCUAAUUAGGGUCUUUUGACAUCUUGAUCUUGCUUACUGCUACGCCGUAGCCGUCGUCACGGCCUUCGCUGUAUUCGUACGUGUGUUAACUGUUAAUUGACAGUUUACAUGUACAUCAGUUCAGUUGAAAUUGAAGACUUCUUCAAAGCCAAGUUUCAGUUUUUGUCAACUCAAGGAGCAUUUGCAGCCUCAUUUGUGUGUAAUUUCAGAGUCUCAUCUUGAGGCAAUUCAGCGAAGGCUUGCGCUGAAGGUGUUUAUAUUGUUAUUUCUGUGUACAGUUAUUUCAGAGGGCAGAAGGCCAUUUCUUGGAGGUAGUUAAAUUGUUAUUACAGCUCCAUAUCACUCAUCUCAUACCAUUUCACCUUCACCCUCAGAUCCUUUAGACGUAAAGGUGCGAGAAGUAAGAAACUCAUUUAGAACCUCAUCCUAAACUUCAUAUUCAAAACAUUUCAUUCAUACCAUAUACCAUACCAUUUCAUUUUCACCCUCUCACCUUUAGACGUAAAGGUGAGAGACAAAAGGAACUCAUUUAGAACCUCAGAAACCUCAUUUUAAACUUUCAUCGAAAUUUCAUCUGGAAGUCUGUCUACCAAUUCACGACAAUAACCCUUGCAUUUAGAGGCUUGGGUGAGUCACAAGGAAUUGGGGAUUGCAACGAACAAACAGAACUUUUUAAACACAUAAUUCUUUUAAACACAUAAUUCUUUUUAAACACAUAAUUCUUUUAAACAACUUAAAAA
Lytechinus variegatus (green sea urchin) is the source of this 927-nucleotide long non-coding RNA. RefSeq lists it as uncharacterized. The transcript is spliced from 5 exons. The record is from RefSeq and is a predicted model, not a curated record. NCBI's taxonomy places the organism in Eukaryota, Metazoa, Echinodermata, Echinoidea, Temnopleuroida, Toxopneustidae.